GCCGGGCGUGGUGGCUCACGCCUGUAAUCCCAGCACUUUGGGAGGCUGAGGUGGGCAGAUCACCUGAGGUCAGGAGUUCGAGACCAGCCUGGCCAACAUGGUGAAACCCCAUCUCUA
Gorilla gorilla gorilla (western lowland gorilla) is the source of this 117-nucleotide non-coding RNA. It matches the Rfam family "Metazoan signal recognition particle RNA". From Rfam's summary of the family: The signal recognition particle (SRP) is a universally conserved ribonucleoprotein. The record is from Rfam. Lineage: Eukaryota; Metazoa; Chordata; Mammalia; Primates; Hominidae.